UACGAAGGGGGGCUAGCGUUGCUCGGAAUCACUGGGCGUAAAGGGUGCGUAGGCGGGUCUUUUAAGUCAGGGGGUGAAAUCCUGGAGCUCAACUCCAGAACUGCCUUUGAUACUGAAGAUCUUGAGUCCGGGAGAGGUGAGUGGAACUGCGAGUGUAGAGGUGAAAUUCGUAGAUAUUCGCAAGAACACCAGUGGCGAAGGCGGCUCACUGGCCCGGUACUGACGCUGAGGUGCGAAAGCGUGGGGAGCAAACAGG
RNAcentral lists this ribosomal RNA (256 nucleotides) under uncultured bacterium. RNAcentral describes it as "partial 16S ribosomal RNA". It matches the Rfam family "Bacterial small subunit ribosomal RNA", at positions 524 to 776 of the family's 1533-position model. The record is from RNAcentral.